UACGUAGGGUGCAAGCGUUAUCCGGAAUUAUUGGGCGUAAAGAGCUCGUAGGCGGUUUGUCGCGUCUGCUGUGAAAACUGGAGGCUCAACCUCCAGCCUGCAGUGGGUACGGGCAAACUAGAGUGCGGUAGGGGAGAUUGGAAUUCCUGGUGUAGCGGUGAAAUGCGCAGAUAUCAAGGAGGAACACCGGUGGCGAAGGCGGGUCUCUGGGCCGUAACUGACGCUGAGGAGCGAAAGCGUGGGGGAGCGAACAGG
This 255-nucleotide ribosomal RNA is filed under the name uncultured bacterium. RNAcentral describes it as "partial 16S ribosomal RNA". It matches the Rfam family "Bacterial small subunit ribosomal RNA", at positions 524 to 776 of the family's 1533-position model. The record is from RNAcentral.